Rosa rugosa (rugosa rose) is the source of this 591-nucleotide long non-coding RNA. RefSeq lists it as uncharacterized. The record is from RefSeq and is a predicted model, not a curated record. Lineage: Eukaryota; Viridiplantae; Streptophyta; Magnoliopsida; Rosales; Rosaceae. The transcript has 4 exons.
UUUCCUUCUUCCUUCUUUCUUUUUCUCUUCUUUCUUUCUUCUCUUUUCUGCAAAACCGGAACCCAUUUCCGGCGAAGUCACCGCCACCGGCCGCACUACCGGCCAUUAGAGGAUCUUCUCUUCCUUCUCUUGCAUCUAAGCUCGUUUUGAUCGGUGGAGGAAGAUUUGAAGGUGUUUGAGACUGUGAACAGUACCGUGAACAGACGUAUUGAGCCCUCGAGCGAGGAGGACACGGGCAGGCAGCAAGAUUAGAUGCGUGACUCACUUAUUUCAGAUUUGCCGAGAUCGCGUCCAGGAACUAGAGGCUUGGAAAUCAGCGCUUCCGUUUUGUUCGUAGGUUAUUACUUAACCUACCUUGUAUGAUAUCGGCUUAGUUAUGUAGAAUUGCUCUGAUAACCCCUUUCAAAUUUGGAGAAUGUUAAUGCUUGAGAAUAUGUUAUCUUAUGGAGAUUAACGUGGAAUUCGUACUUCCGGAAUGUAAUAUAUACGCUUGGAAUGUAAAUGUUAGAAUGUAUCUUCGUGUGUGAGCUUAGUUUUAAGCAUGUCCAGGUUUUGCAAAUUUUUGGGUAGCUCAUUUUAGGGGAGGUUCUG